CGUUUGAAAAUCAACAAAAUGAACAACUUCAAUCUGAAUACGUGGGCCUAGAAACGAGGGUUCCUCCAGGUUGUGCGUACGUUUACUUCAGGACACAGGACUGGAAGGGCACGAAGAAGAAUCCUCUGAAGCUUCUGGUGGUCUUGAUGUGCGAGAGGUCACCCCAAUGAACACAGGUUUACAAGCUGUGCAAGAAGUGGGGAGGUACAAACUAUUUCUCCUCUUGACUUGCCUCGCCUCACUUUCACUGGUUUCUUCUUCAGCUCAUCAUGCUACAUCCAAGAAGGUGCGUAAGUAUGUGGAAGGUGCCUAAAAAUCUUCCUUGUCCCGCUCUCUUGCUUGCUCUUUGAACCUCUCGUUCGUCCUCACUUCUCUUGACUUGUCUAAGGAUGAAUUAGUUCUUCGUCUUCACCACCAGCCAUCGUCAUCCGUUCUAUCUGACUUGCACCAAAAAACUGAAUAGCUUGCUCGUCAACUCACUUGGGAGCCCCUGGCAGCUGGAAGAAGCUCAAACGUAUCCUAAAAAGUGGCGGCCGUACGCAAGUUCGUUCAUUCGGACCUGCCAGAGAACACUCAGCCGCCUUUUGGUUAUCGAAGCGGGAAGGGCUCUCGCGCAGUACUAGGGCGCAUACGUUCGUAGACCCUUAUGAUCAACGUACAUUGUAGAAUGCACCACUUCAGCCACAUCUCGAUUGGGACUUGGAUUCAUUCUGAGGCGCCCUCUGUCGUUUUGAAAUUAAAACCAUCACGAUUGUUAACUGUCGAAUGAGCGCUUGAUGGUGCCAAAGGACUGGGGCAUUGAAUUUUCAUCGGUAAAGGUUGUUGUUCAAGAAAUGGUUUACGAAUGAAUGAAGUCAAAACGGCAUGUUUUUUAAAGAUAUACAGUACAUCGUCGAUUUAUUUGGCUCGCACUUUAUAAAGCUAAAGCUCAUCGGAUGAGGAUGCUUCAAAAGCAGAUACUGACCUUUCAUCAAACAUUUCCUGGUCGGUUAGAACAACAUUUAUCAAUUACCAAUAACUCUGGUUCCUGAAAUCGAUGAUAGAAUUGAGUCAAAACCGGUUGUGUACCGGAUCAUAACUUAUUCUUUAUAGGUCUGUUUUGUUUGGCAAAGGAAGUUUAUAUUAUCGGUGCCCUGUGCCCUAUUCAAGAAGUAAGACGCCGACAUAGCCAAUAUAAAGAUCAAGACGAUUGAACAAUCGUUCUUUUCACUUGAACCAUAAUUGGUCGUGUCGUUUUCGUCGAGUCGGCAUUAUAUCUAAUCAUUUCGCCCGUCAUCAUUGGAUAAGACGCAUUUAAGUGUCAAAGUUCCUCGGAAACUCCUCACGUUGAAGUCUCCAAGACAAAAGAAUCCUAAGGCAUUGAUCACCGAGUGCAAAUUGUUGAAAUUGUUCCUUCCACUGGAUCUGUAUUACGUGAACACCACUCGCCUGAUCCAAGCUUUUGAGUAACAAAGAACCUCGUUUCCGAUAUCAUCUUGAAAAAAAUGACGACAAAAUGCAUACAUUCUCCAAAGAAAUAGACAAACAAUGGCAGGUUUCGAUUUCUGGUUCCAACUACUCCCAAACUCCCAAUCCUAUCCGCACUCUAUCUGGAGUAUCGCCGCCAGCCGUCCCGCCCUCAUUCCGCAUAGCACCAGAUCUAGUCAGGCAUCCAUCCAACCAUCCAACCAACCAAUAGCCUGGGCGUCAGGUAUUCCUCAAGGUCAGAGCUCUAUCUAUCUAGUCAGAAAAACCAAUGCACUACCAUCACCGCUUUAGUAGUACGCCAAUGGUAAGUACGGAUACCGGGUGGAAUGGUCGAUGGUCUGCUUUAGCGCUCCAUUCGGGAGGAUUCCAGUCCCCCACUCGAUUGGUGGGUUUGAUAGCUUGGCUGGCCAAACCUGCUGUCUUUCCUCAUAUGAAUGUGUUUGAGAGGUGGGGGGAGAAGGAUAGCUCAGGCAUACACACAUACACACACACACGCUCGCUCACCAAGGUAAGUACAUAGACAGAGGGUUGGUAAUACUGUCGUUGAGGAUCUGGGUGUGACUGCCUGGUUGGCUUGGUUGAUGAUGGCUGGUUGCUCUUGUGCCCUCAUCAUAGACUAUCUUUUGGGAAUUGGCCGGUAAUCGUCUGAAAAUGAAACUGCGCUUGUCUCUCCUUGAGUCGCCAAGGAGUAGAGUGAAUGACUGGCCAGACACCCAGGCUUAGGUUUGAGUAUGCUUUAUUUUCCUUCUCUGAACCUCAUCCCGUUCAAUAAAGCCUGGGAUAAUAUUAAGAUAUUGUCACGGUUGAUAUUUCUAAAUGGAGUUACAUUUCAAUCGAACCGCAUGCUUUCAGGGAAGUUUGGGUAAGAAUUGGGAUCUCCACUUUUGGACUGAGGUUUGAUGGAACAAAGGAGAGAAGUUCAGAAACUUGGACGUUGUAGUUAUUAAAUGACUCAUCUAACCGAGUGGAGAGUGCUAGAGCAAUGGCAAUGGCUGAGCCAGGAGAACUUGUGAUUUAUUUUGAGCUAGUGAGCCAAUUACAGUAAGGAAGAAAACACAACCUUGGAAUGAAUGGGUCCUUGACUUUGACAAUUGUAGAUAUUGUUUGGUUUGGUGGUACAUUAUUAGGAGGAGAAGAAGUACUUGAUGAGUAAUAUAAUCUGUUACAAUACUGACUGCUCAGAAGCACCGGUAUCAAACUCGGGGAAGAGGGAAAGUGCCCCAUAAUAUCUCCGGUAAUUGGAACUAGUUCAUGAUCUACAUCUCCAUGAGAUGAACCGCUAUUAUUGCAAUUGCUGGACGGCUUGCCUAUCGCUCGCCUUCUUCACCUCAUCUUCCACCAAUUUAGCCUCAGUUUCUUCAUUCUUGAUUUGUUGGAGCAAAAGACGACCCGAUCGAGCCGUAAGGGUGUCGCCAUUCCCGUCGCGAGCUAUCCAAUGUUGGAGAAAUCCGGACACGGCCUUGUUUCCACCUCGCUCAGCUUCGGAUAAAGGCGUAAAGCCCCAUCUAAAAGAGUCAAGGUCAUGGAUAUUUACUGAAAAUUGAAGGUCCCAUUAUGUUCGAGCUAUAUUUGGCUUGCGGCAAACGCCCUUUUUGGACGACCAGAAUUUGAAUUCAAUGGAAUAUGGCUUACGAAAUGCCAUCAAAUGUCCGAAGGCACGUUCUUGCUAAUGGGACAGAAAAUCCGUGACUAAAUAACUUUUAAAAGAGAGAUUCAUUCUUUUAAACGUAUCCGAAUUUGAAU
Long non-coding RNA from Tigriopus californicus, 3210 nucleotides. RefSeq lists it as uncharacterized. The record is from RefSeq and is a predicted model, not a curated record. The transcript has 3 exons. Lineage: Eukaryota; Metazoa; Arthropoda; Copepoda; Harpacticoida; Harpacticidae.